RNAcentral lists this long non-coding RNA (747 nucleotides) under Phascolarctos cinereus (koala). Its description in RNAcentral is "lncRNA (ENSPCIG00000019198.2)". Lineage: Eukaryota; Metazoa; Chordata; Mammalia; Diprotodontia; Phascolarctidae. The record is from RNAcentral.
CAUACACACAGCACAGAUUUUUUUGAUUAUGUAGAUUUUUUUCCCCCUCUACUGCAGUUUCAUAUGCAAAGCAUGCAUCAGCCACAUCCAUGCUAUCUCCUAAAGCAGUCAUUCUGAAACCCAAUCUGGGGACAGUGCAGACUAAAUAAAAUUUCAUUUUGAUUUGGCCUCCUGCUGCGAAUGGGACUGCUUUGUUUCAGCCGACAGAAUCAGCAAGCCAGAAAGCAGUUGCUGUCUGUGGAACUCAACCUCCGUAUUCUCCCCUUCAACUUCAUCUUGCUUCUUCCAGCUGGAAAAAAGGAAAAGUGCUAAUACUGAGCCUGAAUUCACUGUCACAGAGGAUAAGAGCAGGGAAAGGCAUUAUGAGGUUUCUUGAUGAUAGAAGCAAAAGCACUUGGAAUAGCCCUGAUCCAGGGUAGCGGCUGUCAUCAUGGCUCUGGCAUCUCCGACCAAACUUAUUCUUCUCCUGAAAAAAUGAAAACUAAAGCAAGUUUUAAAAUGGCAUUCUGGUCUCAUUAAAAAAAAAAAAAACAACUGACUGGCCAAAGCAGAUGUGUAACUGAAUAUACAUAUUUCAACAUAUCGUAUGGGUAGCAGUCACUUUUAAGCUGGAUUUUGUAAACAUGAGUGGUUGAAAGCAGGGAUCCCCUGGUUAAUGCAUACUCAUCUUUGCAAAUCCUUCAAAUACAUUUAUUUUCUUCUAAAAAAAAAAGAAGUAAGCAUCUAGUAUUUCCCUCAACAUUUCAG